UUUACAUGGAUAACUGUGGUAAUUCUAGAGCUAAUACAUGCAGCAAGCCUUGACCUUACGGGCAAGGCGCAGUUAUUAGAUCAAAAACCAAUCGGUUGUAUCUUCGGAUAUAGCCGUUAGCUUGGUGACUCUGAGUAACCACAGCGAACCGUAUGGCCUUGUGCUCGACGGUCUGUCAGUCAAGCAACUGCCUUAUCAGCUUGUUGUUAGGUUAUAUGCCUAACAAGGCUUCAACGGGUAACGAACGAUCGGGGUCGGAUAUCGGAGAGGGAGCUUGAGAAACGGCUACCACUUCCAAGGAAGGCAGCAGGCGCGCAAAUUACCCACUCUCGGCAUGAGGAGGUAGCGAUAAAAUGUAUCGAUGCGGGGCCAUUAGUGCCUUCGUAAUCGGAAUGAGUACACUUUAAAUCCUAUAACAAGGACCUAUUGGAGGGCAAGUCUGGUGCCAGCAGCCGCGGUAAUUCCAGCUCCAAUAGCGUAUAUUAAUGCUGCUGCGGUUAAAAAGCUCGUAGUCGGAUCUGGGUUACCGGCGGGUACCGCAUGUUGCUUCAUGCAGCAUGUUGUGUACUAUACGUGUCGCUUCGGCGGCACUGCCAGUGUAACGUUGCCUCACGUAGGUGCGUUACGCUGGUCGCCGGAACCACGGGCCGGGUUGAGCAGCAUGCUCUUAACUGAGUGUGUUGUUUACUCGGUGCGUUUACUUUGAAAAAAUUGGAGUGCUCAAAGCAAGCGUACAGUCGCUAUGCGGCUUGAACAGUGGUGCAUGGAAUAAUGGAAUAGGGCCUCGGUUCUAUUUUGUUGGUUUUAAGAUAUCGAGGUAAUGAUUAAGAGGGACAGACGGGGACGUUUGUAUUGCGACGUUAGAGGUGAAAUUCUUGGAUCGUCGCAAGACACACUAAUGCGAAAGCAUUCGUCUAGAAUGUUUUCAUUGAUCAAGAACGAAAGUUAGAGGUUCGAAGGCGAUCAGAUACCGCCCUAGUUCUAACCAUAAACGAUGCCAACCAGCGAUCCGUCGGUGUUCUCAAUUAUGAAUGACCCGACGGGCAGCUUCCGGGAAACCAAAGUUUUCGGGUUCCGGGGGAAGUAUGGUUGCAAAGCUGAAACUUAAAGGAAU
This 1114-nucleotide ribosomal RNA is filed under the name Echiniscus canadensis. RNAcentral describes it as "SSU rRNA". It matches the Rfam family "Eukaryotic small subunit ribosomal RNA", at positions 134 to 1153 of the family's 1831-position model. RNAcentral also lists the same sequence under 2 other names. Lineage: Eukaryota; Metazoa; Tardigrada; Heterotardigrada; Echiniscoidea; Echiniscidae. The record is from RNAcentral.